Molecule: ribosomal RNA, 253 nt
Filed under: uncultured bacterium
Lineage: Bacteria
Description: partial 16S ribosomal RNA
Rfam family: Bacterial small subunit ribosomal RNA
Source: RNAcentral
UACGAAGGGGGCUAGCGUUGUUCGGAAUUACUGGGCGUAAAGCGCACGUAGGCGGAUAUUUAAGUCAGGGGUGAAAUCCCAGAGCUCAACUCUGGAACUGCCUUUGAUACUGGGUAUCUCGAGUAUGGAAGAGGUGGGUGGAAUUCCGAGUGUAGAGGUGAAAUUCGUAGAUAUUCGGAAGAACACCAGUGGCGAAGGCGACUUACUGGACACAUAUUGACGCUGAGGUGCGAAAGCGUGGGGAGCAAACAGG